UUUUAGAAAUUAAUUUAAAGUCUAACCUGCCCACUGAAUAAAUUUAAAUGGCCGCAGUAUCCUAACUGUGCAAAGGUAGCAUAAUCAUUAGUCUUUUAAUUGAAGGCUGGAAUGAAUGGUUGAAUGAAAUAUUAACUGUUUCAUAAAAAUUUAUAAUAGAAUUUUAUUUUUUAGUCAAAAAGCUAAAAUAUUAUUAAAAGACGAGAAGACCCUAUAAAUCUUUAUAUUUAGAUAAUUUUAAUUAUUUAGAUAAAUUAAAUUAUAAUUAUUGUAAAUAUUUUAUUGGGGUGAUAUUAAAAUUUAAUAAACUUUUAAUUUAUAAUUAACAUAAAUUAAUGAAUUAUUGAUCCAUUUAUUAUGAUUAAAAAAUUAAGUUACUUUAGGGAUAACAGCGUAAUUUUUUUAGAGAGUUCAUAUUGAUAAAAA
RNAcentral lists this ribosomal RNA (426 nucleotides) under Megaselia sp. 23 SH-2017. RNAcentral's name for it is "partial 16S ribosomal RNA". Lineage: Eukaryota; Metazoa; Arthropoda; Insecta; Diptera; Phoridae. The record is from RNAcentral.